This 21-nucleotide non-coding RNA is filed under the name Caenorhabditis elegans. The record is from RNAcentral. Lineage: Eukaryota; Metazoa; Nematoda; Chromadorea; Rhabditida; Rhabditidae.
UCGCACAAAUUCGUGGAAGAA